UCUCCGUAGGUGAACCUGCGGAGGGAUCAUUACAAGUGACCCCGGUCUUACCACCGGGAUGUUCAUAACCCUUUGUUGUCCGACUCUGUUGCCUCCGGGGCGACCCUGCCUUCGGGCGGGGGCUCCGGGUGGACACCUCAAACUCUUGCGUAACUUUGCAGUCUGAGUAAACUUAAUUAAUAAAUUAAAACUUUUAACAACGGAUCUCUUGGUUCUG
This 217-nucleotide unclassified non-coding RNA is filed under the name plant metagenome. RNAcentral describes it as "partial contains small subunit ribosomal RNA, internal transcribed spacer 1, and 5.8S ribosomal RNA". The record is from RNAcentral.